RNAcentral lists this ribosomal RNA (497 nucleotides) under uncultured bacterium. Its description in RNAcentral is "partial 16S ribosomal RNA". It matches the Rfam family "Bacterial small subunit ribosomal RNA", at positions 28 to 507 of the family's 1533-position model. The record is from RNAcentral.
GACGAACGCUGGCGGCGUGCCUAAUACAUGCAAGUUGAGCGCUGAAGGUUGGUACUUGUACCAACUGGAUGAGCAGCGAACGGGUGAGUAACGCGUGGGGAAUCUGCCUUUGAGCGGGGGACAACAUUUGGAAACGAAUGCUAAUACCGCAUAAAAACUUUAAACACAAGUUUUAAGUUUGAAAGAUGCAAUUGCAUCACUCAAAGAUGAUCCCGCGUUGUAUUAGCUAGUUGGUGAGGUAAAGGCUCGCCAAGGCGAUGAUACAUAGCCGACCUGAGAGGGUGAUCGGCCACAUUGGGACUGAGACACGGCCCAAACUCCUACGGGAGGCAGCAGUAGGGAAUCUUCGGCAAUGGACGAAAGUCUGACCGAGCAACGCCGCGUGAGUGCAGAAGGUUUUCGGAUCGUAAAACUCUGUUGGUAGAGAAGAACGUUGGUGAGAGUGGAAAGCUCAUCAAGUGACGGUAACUACCCAGAAAGGGACGGCUAACUACGUG